RNAcentral lists this ribosomal RNA (274 nucleotides) under uncultured bacterium. Its description in RNAcentral is "partial 16S ribosomal RNA". It matches the Rfam family "Bacterial small subunit ribosomal RNA", at positions 523 to 796 of the family's 1533-position model. The record is from RNAcentral.
AUACGGGGGGUGCAAGCGUUAUUCGGAUUUAUUGGGCGUAAAGGGCGCGUAGGCGGCUUGGUAAGUCAGAUGUGAAAGCCCGGGGCUCAACCCCGGAAGUGCAUUUGAAACUAUCAGGCUUGAGUAUGGGAGAGGGAAGUGGAAUUCCUGGUGUAGAGGUGAAAUUCGUAGAUAUCAGGAGGAACACCGGUGGCGAAGGCGACUUCCUGGACCAAUACUGACGCUGAGGCGCGAAGGCGUGGGGAGCAAACAGGAUUAGAUACCCCAGUAGUCC